RNAcentral lists this long non-coding RNA (510 nucleotides) under Daphnia pulicaria. RNAcentral describes it as "uncharacterized LOC124350483, transcript variant X4". Lineage: Eukaryota; Metazoa; Arthropoda; Branchiopoda; Diplostraca; Daphniidae. The record is from RNAcentral.
CACAUAUAGUGGAAUAUAAAUGUGCCGAGAUAAGGAUCUUUUCUGAAUCUCGCAAUUUUGGUGUGUACCCUGCAACAGCGUGUUGGUUGUUAUGGCUGUUUUUACUUUGGUUUAGAAGGCAACCCAGCUAAGUGAUAGGUAGAGUUUUAUUUUUUAUUGAGCACGCAGUUUCUUUGUGGAAUCGUGUGUUCCUGGCACAGAUAUUCUUGUGCCAACGCUGGCUUUUGUCCAUGACCAACGUUCUGCUCCAUCCUUAUCUUCCCGACGUAAGCUCAUCCAGCUUCUGCUUCAUCGCUUCGUACACAAAAUACAACUUGUCUUACUUCAAUGACAAGUUGGAACAUUUCAGUGGUCGCGUCCGUGCCGCUGUUACACAACUGCAGUCACUCACCAUGGGGUUAUGCCCAGGUACCCGACAAUUUACUUAUUUUCGUAGAUUAUCUAUUCUAAUAGUAUACUUACUUGUGUCUGUAAUAAUUUCGAAAUCAGGCCCUACUUGCGCGCAAACGU